Lyophyllum atratum is the source of this 93-nucleotide non-coding RNA. The record is from the annotation of a GenBank genome assembly. Lineage: Eukaryota; Fungi; Basidiomycota; Agaricomycetes; Agaricales; Lyophyllaceae.
UCCUUGUUAGUAUAUCGGUUCAGUACACGCGCCUGUCAUAACGCAAAUAUUGCCUUCACGCGCGAGAGCUGGGUUCGACUCCCAGACAGGGAG